CCGGAGGCCGCAGCGGGAGGCAGGCGCUCGGCUCGGCGCGCAGGAGAGCGGAGGCUGGCGAGCGGAGGAGCAGCAUGCGCAGGAGGAGACGCGGUUCGGCCCAGGAGCAGGUCCAUGCGAAGGGGGAGCAGCGCGGGUUCAAGGGUGGCGAGCGGCACGGGCUGGUGGGCCCAGGACGGCGCGCAGCGCUGGCGGCGCGGCUCGGCAGGAGUCCGAGCGGCGCGGCUCAGCCGGCGGGCGGCGCCAGCGGAUGCGGAGGCGCUGCGCGGACGCGCGGCCCAGGCGCGCGGGGGCGGCUCGGCCGGUGGGCCGUGGCAGCGGCCAGAUGUGCGGGCAACGCAGGGUGGCGUGCCCAGUGAGCUGGCGGCAUGCGGCACAGUGCGGGAGUGGGCAGCAGCUCGACGCGGAGGCUGGAGUUGAUGGCUUGCGCAGCGCGUGUGCAGGGCGACGCGAACAGGCGGCGUGCAGGACGCGUGCGAGCGCAGCAGGUGCGAGACUCGGGCGGAGGCGAGCAGCCCGGAGUGAGCAGUGGCGCGCGGAGUGACCCAGGCGUGCGGGUGAGGCAGCAGGCGUGCGCGGCGGCGGCACAGGAGCGGUCCGCAGGCGGUGCAGGAGCGAACAUGAGCGACGGCAGCACGGUGGCCGACUGCGGCUCGCGAGCGGAGGCGCGCGAGUAGGCGACAGCGUGCGCAGGGCGUUGACGUGGGUGAACGGCCGUGGCGCCGAAGUACUGGAGUAGACUUGGGAAUCGGCGGCGCAGACCUGGGUGAGUCCGAGCCACGGGACCGGCAGGAUGUGCAGAUGCGGCACGACAAGGCCGAGGCGACGCCGGUCCAGCAGAUGAGGAGGAAGAGGAGCAGCAGCACGAGGUGGUCGAGGCGGAAACAGCGGCGCGGAUUUGACAGCAGCUGAUCCGCAAACAGCAUGGCGUCUAGGGUUUCUUCCAGGGUUUGACCCCAUCGUAUCCCUCGCCAUAACUGCAACGAGCUACAGCAGAUGGAACCCGCCAUCACCGCCGGUGAGAAACCGAGGGCCUCUCUGCGAAACUCUUUUAUUAUUUUAUGUGUGCAAAGCAGCUAACUUGUAAAAUUCGUAGAAAAUUGUAGAAAAAUCAUAAAAAUACCAAACUAGUUUUGUUUGAAUCCUUAAGUAAUCCUCGACUACUUUUAUAUAGAAAGUUUAAGCUUUAUGUGUGUAGUUUUUGAUGUAAGUUAAAUACUAGGAAUUGAGUGUUUUAAUUGUAUCUCAUGUUAUGUGCAUGUGUUGUGGCUGAUUUUUGGAACUUAGGUUGUAUGUGAUGCAAUGUUUAGAUUUUCUUAAGGAUAUUUCUAUUAAUAAUUAUAUCUGAAUUUUAUACUCUAACUUCCUUUCGCAUGCGUAACCCAUAGUAAAAAUAUUAGGCUUAAUAUUAGGCUAUACCCUAAAUUAUGAAAUUAUGCUUAAUUUCAAAGAAAAUUUAUGAACAAUAGCUCUAGUUCAUAAAAAAUUAUGAGAAUAUUUUGAAGUGCUAUUCCUGAAUAGUGUAAUAUGUUCACAAAUUCUCAACUCAUGAUCAAGUGUAGGACAACUAAAAUAAAUAGAACUUGAUAUAAUAAUACCAUAUUUCUAAUUAAUCGAAGUAGGUCCAUAAUUAAUGAUAACCUAGAGUUAUUAAAAAUAAUUAGCUAGUCAAAUAAAUAAAGUUAUGGAAUGUAAUUAGUGUGAUUAAGUAAGAUAACCAGACAUGCUACUUAAUGUAGUUAAUUUAAAUGUUUGGCGUAAACGACCAUGUUACCUAAUGUAACUAGGAAGUUUACUUAAUACUCGAUAAAUGAUUGCCCAGUAAAAGAAUGAAUGAUAUGAUUGGUAAAUAGAAUGUGGUUUAUUUUGCAUUGUUGAUAAGUCGGAUAGUAUUAGCUUAUAAUUUAGUGGUGUUAAACCAUUUUACCUAAAAAGUAUGCAUUACAACUUGUAUGCCAUAUUGAUGUGAUAGAUCUGUGUGAUAUUUAGUAAUCCCUUUCACACGAGUGCUCAUGCCUUCUUUAGCUGCACAUCUAUCGGCACAAACCUAUCAACCACAUCCUCUUCAUUCUAGUUCCGCACUUGUGGUUCCAUCAGCCUAGACCAAGUGUAGUGUUCUGUUCCGCCUACUUCUUGUAACAGGUCUAACUGAAAUAACCCCAUCGGCCGUACGUCACUCAAUUGUUGUACUGACGUAAUCAAGCCGAUGCAACCACACCUAGUUACCUAGGAUAACACUUAAGCACAUCUCAUUUAGGCACAGCCAGUGCAAAGUAGAACAAUCAGCUACACGACUGAUAUGCCCCAAUAGAUGUAGGAAAACAUUAAGGCUGAAGGCUGGCUACACAGCUGACCCACCAGUCGGUGGAGUACGCCAAGACACAGACCAUACGGAUGCAUAAUUUGACUAGUCUACUAAUGUACCAUCGCCUAGUUACUCGCACUAAUUGACUAGCAUGCCGAUUCACAGAUCGACUAGAACACGUACACAAAUCGGCUCAACCAAUGUUCACACAAUCAACCAGUUUUGUUAAAGCAUAGGUCGGCUAUGCCAAUAUGCACGUGAUCGGCUAGGUAUGCCGAUACCCACAUAGAUUAGUUAAGACACAGCUGCUUUAGGAAAACCGAUGCACUUGUCAAUCGAUUACCCAGACCAAAGUACACAACCCUGGAUCAGUAAGAUCGCACAGUAGACACGCCUCUAUUAGGCACGACCAAAGCAUAUCUAUCGGCUAUACCUCCGUUGUUUUCAAUCGGCUCUGUUGUAACCCUCAACAAAUAGCUGAUCCUAAUUAGUUGUCCUCUUAAAACUCUAUCUAAGUUUAGUUCAGAUCUUUCUGGUUAAUAUGUAAGUAGUAUGUUAUAUAAGUGCUGGAUUGCAAUUGUAUUAUGAAGUAAGGUAGUUUUAUGUGCACAUUUUGAAUGAAAUGUUGCAUUGCAUGUAGAUACGAUUACUUCGACUAUGGUACCUACGAGAUCUCCCCGGAGUCUACGGAGGAUAUUUCUGAAGACCAAGUGAACGUCACCAGGGAAUUAACUAAAGUCCUGAACCAAAGUUCAGAAGAUAUUGACAUUUCUGACUUCAGUCCCACCAGUAAAGGCAAGCCCCGGACAUAACCUACUAUUUUAUUACACUGCAAUCUAUAUCUAUUUACGUAUUCUAUGCAUUAAGUUCUUAGGAAUUGCUUGAAACCCUAGUUGCAUUCUCCUAGGAACCAAUGUGAUGGAUACUAGCUCUUGAGUCUGACUAGCUGCUAUGCUUAUAGGACUGGUAGAAGUCGGGUGAUUUCCUGUCACUCGCGCGACAUAGGAAUUGUAAUGUUUACAUUCCUGUUAUCACUAUAAGGAUGACGGACGGGAGUUUGUGAGGUAUCAUGAUUGAGAUGAUACCCCGUCUGUGUUGUUGAAUUGGAUAAGGUCGCAGUGUGUGGUAGCGGUGGUUAAGCGUUUGAAAGUACUAGCCACAUGAUGUGAAAUAUGGUAAGCGGUAAGACUAGUAACCAAUCGGCCCGAGGAGUGGACAUACCCCCCACCACAUGUAUUUGCUUCUUUUGGUUACUUUGUUCGACGUGUAGGAAUACGUGUUGCUGGGCAACCAGGAGUACGGGUUUUGUAGUCGCGCUACAGACGUACGUCCUUCACUUUGGAAGUGCGUAUGGUCCUGCAGUCGCUUGUGGUGGAUCUAAUCCACGAGUCGGAAUGAAAGGUAAACGGUUGCUUCGUGUCACACCCUAAAAUAUUUAAUUUUAGGAUGUGACUAACUUUUACAAUAUGUUCAUCUAUCAAUAAGAUUUUUCGAGAAUUUUAAAGAUUUUUCUGGCAAUUAUUCUAUUUAUCUUAGAGCUGGAAAUUUUUGGGAUUCUUCCGAAUAUAUUUUUCGUGGUUUGAAAUAUUUAUCUGGACUUUUCUAGAUUUAUUUAAACUUGAAAAUAUGUUUUGGAAAAUAUUUCUAUUUUGAUUUUCAUCGCAGUCGGACCGAGCCGUAUCUCGUUGUACGUCCUUUUAACCUUGUCCUCUCUGAAUCUUUAAGAUGUCCCUUCGAGCUCCCGAUCCUCUAACCGUUUCCCCCGAUCAAGUCAUGCUUGAAAACGACGCCUCGUGGCUCGUCUUCAGUGUUUUUUCGACGAUGUUCGAUCGCCGUCAGCCCCAACGACUCGGCUUGAUCCCUUCCUUCUCUUUUCGCGCUUCCGAAUAAAUGGUUCACGUUCAACCAGCCCUGUCAGCUUGUUUUCGUGUUCAGCCCUCACCCGAUCCUGUUUCGGCCCAUAACCGAAUCCCUCGACCUCGCAUCGGUCCCCUGCUCGUUAAAUUGUGGGACCCGCUGGUUAGCCCUAUCUCAUCUCUCCCAUGGGCAAUCUGGACUCAGGAAUGAGUCCCAGCCCGAUGCGCCGCUAUGUCCUUACCCUCGUUCGAGUUGGAGUCCAGCAUGAUAUCUGCAGGCCUAUUUAAAUAUGUCUUGCACCAUCUGUUUCUCCAGUAGCCGGCCCUAAUUUUUCUCCCCUACGUCGGCUCCUGCGUGCUCUAUAAAUUCUCACGUAACCCUUGCCCCCUGUGCGUCGCUUUUCCUCCCUGCACGCCGUCGCCCAGAUUCCCUCCCGUUCUUCUCCUCCAGGCGCCUAAACCCUACUCCUUUUCCCCCUGCGCCACGCCAAUCCCCCUGCCGCCCCUGGUUCCUGCAUGGGCCCUGCACUUCCCCCUGCCCGUGCCCGUCCCGAGCACAGCCAUCGGCCCUGCGCCUCCACCCCUGUGCGCCGCCGUCGCCCAGUGCCCCCUUGCGCUCCCUCCUGCUGCCGCCGCCUAGGCCUCCCUGCCGAGCGCCCAGGAAACCAGGAUCGCCGUCGCCUGAGCCCCUGCCCAGUGCCACCGUCCCUGUACCCGUGCAUGCCCGGCCUGGCCCCUGCGCACAUUGACCCUUUAUCCCAGCGCCUCGCUCUUCCCCCUGCAGCGCCACCCUGGCCCCUGCAUCACGCCCCACUGCAGGCCGGCCCUGCCAUGCGCUCACCCCCUGUGGCGCCCUUGCCCCAGACCAGCCGCCCGGAACAGAAACAAGCGCAGGCUACCCAGAAAACAGAGGGACAGAACGGCCGGCGCAUCUUCCUCCGCAAAAUUCGAUCACCUCGAUGCGUCCCUGUGGUAAGUUAGGUAUGGAUUGGAAUCCCCUCGUCGUCCUCUUUCAUUUGCCCCGCUUCCCGCGACCUCUCGUGGCCUAAAUCGCCGGCAAUUUGAUCUACAGUACCCACUGGUCACCAUGGGAGGCUGUUUCAAGCUUUUUCAGAUUAGGUCCCUGGAAGAUUCUGUAAUUACCGUGAAAAUUUCUGUGUCUUGCAAAAAUUGCAGAAAACCCCCUAGAUCUUUUCCAUCUUUUCAAUCCAGCCCCACCAUGGAAUUUUUCAGGUCUAACCCUAAUCUUUUAUGUAUUUGUGAGCCCUAUUUUCUGUGUCUUGUAUUUCUUUUCAGCUAACCCUUGAAGUCUAUAGUUAAUUGCAUAUAGGUCCCUGCAGCGCUGUUUUAUGCGUAGUUUCCGCGUUUUAGAUCCGUUUCGAUCCGUUCUUUUUGCGUUAGUCUUCUAAAACCCGAAGCUAUCGUUUAGUAGCGUUGUUGUGUCAUAAUUCCUGUUUUUAAAAUUAAAUAUCAAUUUAAUUUGAAUAAUAUCCUCUCAUCUAGUUUUCCGAAAUAAAAUCCAAUUAAGUCUUUUCUCUGGUUUUCAUAAGUAAUGUUAACUCAAUUAAUAUCAACUUAAAUGUGUUUGUAAUUUAAUUUGUAUAGUUCAACUCGAAUCAUAAGGUUAUGCGUUUAGAUGUUCUCACAAGUUUUCUUUUCUAAUUAAUUAUUUAAUUAGUGUAAUUUGUACACAGAGAAUUGUAUAUAAAAUUUGACUAAGUUCUACUUCGUCUUUAUAAAUGCAAAUAUAAUAUGAGUUAAUUAUAAUUAGGGAUAUUCUCUUUUGAAUAUCUUUUACAUUGGUUUUCUAAAUUAAAAUAAAUGAAAGCCUAUAGUUCUUUAUUUCUUUUUAAUAUAAAUCUCCCGAUAGCUGUAUCUUUUCAACCCUAGCUCCGUUUUCCGCGUUUCUUUCUUUCUCGUGACCGUAGCAACGAGCUCUAUUCUUUAGUUCGCUCUUUUAAAGCUUUUCUUUUGUUUGUUGUAUCUGUUCUUAGUCGUUCUUGUUUGUUUGCUUGCUUGUAUGUUUUGGGCCCGUUGCUUGUGUGAUGUUAGAAGGAGCAUGAUCCAAGAGCUUUGAAGAUUUAGAGUUUCAAGAACAAGAGUUGAAGACUCUGAGCAGCUAUUCUCUAAAAGAAAGGCAAGUGUUUCCUUGAUCAUGCUUUUGUCCUAAUAAUCACAAUAAAUACAACAUUUUCUUUAUAUGCAUGCAUGUGUCCUAAUUUUGAUGGAUCCUAAUUAAGGAUAUGCCUAGUCUUUAUGAUCAUUCCUUGUCAACCUGGGUUUUACCUUUUUGUUGGGUAGCUAUUGCUUAGUUGCUGUAACUGGUUCUGGUUUGGGAAUAAUAUAAAACCAUGAUGGCAACAAUGAUGAUGCUACACCUAUUUUUAUCCAUGUUCAUGCUCUUGGUGAUGUUAAUCACAAGAUUAUAUAUUUUAAUUGGAACAUGGAGAACCACCCAGGAAAACAGUGCAACCACAAUACUAUAUGGCUCUGGUCUUGGCUGAUUAAUUAGAAACACUAGCUUAUGACGAUCUUACCGAAAGGGCAAGAGGGGUUGCAUCGUCGGGGUAUAGCUCGGUCCUCUUGAGGGUAUGAUAUGGUCCUGGGUAAGGCGUCUGCCUCAUUAGGGAGAGUUAUGACAGUUUUGACUUGAAACCUCAGCGGAUUGUCAUGAGUUAGGGAAUCUUUGUAAAGGCCUCGUAGUGAAUCCCUUGCCACUCACCUCGGAAGUGUUUAAGAGGCUAGCUACCUCUGGCAAAUCGGGAGACAUGAAUUGUGGGUAAAGUGUACAACCUCUGCAGAGUGAAAACUGAUAUAUCAGCCGUGCUCACGGUUACGAGCGGCUUGGACCCUCACAUGAUAAUUAAACUUGAAGAUGAAUUAAAUUGUGGACCAUGGCUAUGGUUAUGGUUAUUGUGGACCAUGUUUAUGGUUGUGGUUAUGCUUAUGCUGUAUCUCUUCUCUCUCUUUUAAUGUGGGUUUUGGUACGAACUUAUACCUUAGUAAUCAGGUGCUAAUAAAACUUGACCAACUAAAAUUGCUUAUCGCAGUAAGCCAGUCAGCCUUUCCUUGAUUUUGGCCUUCAUGUCAUAUAAUUCCCAACACUUGCUGAGUACCAACCAUAAGUGUACUCACGCUUGUUAUAAUUGCUGCUCAGAGGAGAAAGUGAUGUGAAGUCUUUUGAAAAUGAUGCUGAGUUCUAGGCCAGCGCAACCCCCGGUCGAUUGCCUGUGAAGUUUGGAGUCUUCGUUUCCAGGAUAAGCUGUAUAACUCUGAUAAUUUUUAUAGUCUUUUAAUUCUCUUUUCGUGAUACUGUUGCUGAUUAUUCACUAAUGAAGUCACUAUAUGUAUGAAUUUGAUCCUGGCAUACAUAUAGUUAUGCAUUCAGUUUUGUCUUUAAAAACCGGGUGUGACACUUCGGAACGACCCUGUGGUGUUCCAAGCGUGUGAGUUAGGUUUACCUUGCAAGGUUGAAUCUCGAUUCAGGAAUCGUCCGCCUCUCACGAUGAAUGAGACUGCUUAUCCCCUUUAUCACAAAGAGUUACAAGAGUAACUAUAUGAUGAGUAAUGUUGAUGGUUGAUAUAAAGAGCUCUACCUUGCUUGCUUAGUUAUAAGUGCUUAUCUAGAAUGGAUAAUCACAUAGAACUUGAAAGCUAAAAAUUGAAAUUAAGGAUCUACUCUUAGUUGCUUUUCAGCUGAAACUAAACCCAGAACUAUUAUAAGCUUUCAUAAGUCUAGUUAUGGGCUAAAGUAUACCCAAUUCCGGGUAAGCCUUGCUGAGUAUUAGUAUACUCAGCCUUGCUAGCUAUAUGUUUUGCAGGUAAUGUCUGGAAAACCCUACUCUUUCCUUGCCUUAGCCCUGUACUCUUUCAGAAGGUUGGUCCGUGGAAUGGGGUCCGUCCCCGACCAACAUUGGUGAUACCGAGUGAUGUCGUGCCCGGGCUUAGCAUGACAUCCAUCUUGACGACGUGCUGUAAAUCAUCGCGUAUGUUUUCCGCUGCCAAAAACCAUAGCUUUAACAGUUGUAAUCUUUUCUCUAAAUUUGAAACUUCGUACUUCUUUUGGAAACUUUUGUAAUGUAAUUCUCUGUGAUGUAAAAUGUAAUGGUGACUGUAUCUCCGGACUCACCUUCAUGUGAGGUAACCUUAUUUGAUCCUGUGUAUCGGUGGUUUAUCGGGACGUUACCCGACAGGCC
Molecule: long non-coding RNA, 8357 nt
Filed under: Panicum hallii
Lineage: Eukaryota; Viridiplantae; Streptophyta; Magnoliopsida; Poales; Poaceae
Description: long non-coding RNA (PHAL_LNC000970)
Source: RNAcentral